AGGAAAUAGAUACCCAGGUAGUCCCAGCUGUAAACGAUGCAGACUAGGUGUUUGGACGGCCACGUGCCGUUCUAGUGCCGCAGGGAAGCUGUUAAGUCUGCCGCCUGGGGAGUACGAUCGCAAGAUUGAAACUUAAAGGAAUUGGCGGGGAGCACCACAAGGGUGGAAGCUUGCGGUUUAAUUUAGGAGUCAACGCCGGAAAUACUCACCGGGAGGCGACAGCAGUAUGAAAGACCAGAUUGAAGGUCUUGCCAGACGAGCUGAGAGGAGGUGCAUGGCCGUCGCCAGUUCGUGCCGUGAGGUGUCCUGUUAAGUCAGGCAACGAUCGAGACCCGCGUCCUCUGUUGCAACCAGCUUUGUGCUGGGCACACUGAGGAGACCGCCACUGAUAAAGUGGAGGAAGGAGCGGGCCACGGCAGGUCAGUAUGCCCCGGAAUCUCCCGGGGCCACACGCGAGCUGCAAUGGCAAGUACAAUGGGUUCCGACCUCGAAAGGGGGAGGCAAUCUCGAAAGCUUGCCGUAGUUGGAAUU
RNAcentral lists this ribosomal RNA (531 nucleotides) under uncultured bacterium. RNAcentral's name for it is "bacterial SSU rRNA". It matches the Rfam family "Archaeal small subunit ribosomal RNA", at positions 725 to 1255 of the family's 1478-position model. The record is from RNAcentral.